GACCGCGUAGCUCAGUUGGCAGAGCAUUGGGCUAGUAUUCCAAAGACCGUAGGUUCAAUUCCCACCGUGGUCA
This is a non-coding RNA of Paramuricea clavata, 73 nucleotides long. The record is from the annotation of a GenBank genome assembly. Lineage: Eukaryota; Metazoa; Cnidaria; Anthozoa; Malacalcyonacea; Plexauridae.